This 1081-nucleotide ribosomal RNA is filed under the name Diaporthe maritima. Its description in RNAcentral is "SSU rRNA". It matches the Rfam family "Eukaryotic small subunit ribosomal RNA", at positions 59 to 1151 of the family's 1831-position model. The record is from RNAcentral. Lineage: Eukaryota; Fungi; Ascomycota; Sordariomycetes; Diaporthales; Diaporthaceae.
CUAAGUUUAAGCACCUAAACGGCGAAACUGCGAAUGGCUCAUUAAAUCAGUUAUCGUAUAUUUGAUAGUACCUACUACAUGGAUAACCGUGGUAAUUCUAGAGCUAAUACAUGCUUAAAACCCCGACUUCGGAAGGGGUGUAUUUAUUAGAUUAAAAACCAAUGCCCUUCGGGGCUCACUGGUGAUUCAUAAUAACUUCUCGAAUCGCAUGGCCUUGUGCCGGCGAUGGUUCAUUCAAAUUUCUGCCCUAUCAACUUUCGACGGCUGGGUCUUGGCCAGCCGUGGUUACAACGGGUAACGGAGGGUUAGGGCUUGACCCCGGAGAAGGAGCCUGAGAAACGGCUACUACAUCCAAGGAAGGCAGCAGGCGCGCAAAUUACCCAAUCCCGACUCGGGGAGGUAGUGACAAUAAAUACUGAUACAGGGCUCUUUUGGGUCUUGUAAUUGGAAUGAGUACAAUUUAAAUCCCUUAACGAGGAACAAUUGGAGGGCAAGUCUGGUGCCAGCAGCCGCGGUAAUUCCAGCUCCAAUAGCGUAUAUUAAAGUUGUUGCAGUUAAAAAGCUCGUAGUUGAACCUUGGGCCUGGCUGGCCGGUCUGCCUCACCGCAUGCACUGGUCCGGCCGGGCCUUUCCCUCUGGGGAGCCGCAUGCCCUUCACUGGGUGUGUCGGGGAACCAGGACUUUUACUGUGAAAAAAUUAGAGUGUUCAAAGCAGGCAUAUGCUCGAAUACAUUAGCAUGGAAUAAUAGAAUAGGACGUCGCGGUUCUAUUUUGUUGGUUUCUAGGACCGCCGUAAUGAUUAAUAGGGACAGUCGGGGGCAUCAGUAUUCAAUCGUCAGAGGUGAAAUUCUUGGAUCGAUUGAAGACUAACUACUGCGAAAGCAUUUGCCAAGGAUGUUUUCAUUAAUCAGGAACGAAAGUUAGGGGAUCGAAAACGAUCAGAUACCGUUGUAGUCUUAACCAUAAACUAUGCCGACUAGGGAUCGGGCGGUGUUAUUUCUUGACCCGCUCGGCACCUUACACGAAAGUAAAGUUUUUGGGUUCUGGGGGGAGUAUGGUCGCAAGGCUGAAACUUAAAGGU